Molecule: ribosomal RNA, 253 nt
Filed under: uncultured bacterium
Lineage: Bacteria
Description: partial 16S ribosomal RNA
Rfam family: Bacterial small subunit ribosomal RNA
Source: RNAcentral
UACGGAGGGUCCAAGCGUUAUCCGGAAUCAUUGGGUUUAAAGGGUCCGUAGGCGGUUUUGUAAGUCAGUGGUGAAAGCCCAUCGCUCAACGGUGGAACGGCCAUUGAUACUGCAAGACUUGAAUUAUUAGGAAGUAACUAGAAUAUGUAGUGUAGCGGUGAAAUGCUUAGAGAUUACAUGGAAUACCAAUUGCGAAGGCAGGUUACUACUAAUGGAUUGACGCUGAUGCACGAAAGCGUGGGUAGCGAACAGG